This 109-nucleotide Y RNA is filed under the name Macaca mulatta (Rhesus monkey). Its description in RNAcentral is "Y RNA (ENSMMUG00000036138.3)". It matches the Rfam family "Y RNA". Rfam says of the family: Y RNAs are components of the Ro ribonucleoprotein particle (Ro RNP), in association with Ro60 and La proteins. The Y RNAs and Ro60 and La proteins are well conserved, but the function of the Ro RNP is not known. The record is from Rfam by way of RNAcentral. Lineage: Eukaryota; Metazoa; Chordata; Mammalia; Primates; Cercopithecidae.
GGCUGGUUCGAAGAUAAUGUUAUCUCAAUUAAUUGUUCAGUCAGUUACAGAUCAAACUCCUUGUGCUACUCUUUCCCCACUUCUCACUGCUGCACUUGACUAGUCUAGA